RNAcentral lists this small RNA (69 nucleotides) under Klebsiella pneumoniae. RNAcentral describes it as "partial RtT sRNA". It matches the Rfam family "RtT RNA", at positions 1 to 69 of the family's 130-position model. Rfam says of the family: This family represents a bacterial cis-regulatory element known as RtT RNA. Lineage: Bacteria; Pseudomonadati; Pseudomonadota; Gammaproteobacteria; Enterobacterales; Enterobacteriaceae. The record is from RNAcentral. RNAcentral also lists the same sequence under 1 other name.
UAUUCUGCCCCAUGGGGAAGGAUGAGAAGCUUCGACUAAGGUUCGACUCGAGCGAAGCGAGAGAACGUU